RNAcentral lists this ribosomal RNA (438 nucleotides) under marine sediment bacterium BB0608_2216_1.2_6S0. RNAcentral's name for it is "bacterial SSU rRNA". It matches the Rfam family "Bacterial small subunit ribosomal RNA", at positions 108 to 540 of the family's 1533-position model. The record is from RNAcentral.
GAGUAACGCGUAGGAAUCUGCCCGGUAGCGGGGGAUAGCCCAGAGAAAUUUGGAUUAAUACCGCAUACGCCCUACGGGGGAAAGGAGGGGACUCUUCGGAGCCUUCCACUAUCGGAUGAGCCUGCGUGAGAUUAGCUAGUUGGCGGGGUAAAGGCCCACCAAGGCGACGAUCUCUAGCUGGUCUGAGAGGAUGAUCAGCCACACCGGAACUGAGACACGGUCCGGACUCCUACGGGAGGCAGCAGUGGGGAAUAUUGCACAAUGGGCGAAAGCCUGAUGCAGCCAUGCCGCGUGUGUGAAGAAGGCCUUAGGGUUGUAAAGCACUUUCAGCGAGGAGGAAAGCUUGUGAGUUAAUACCUCUCAAGUGUGACGUUACUCGCAGAAGAAGCACCGGCUAACUCCGUGCCAGCAGCCGCGGUAAUACGGAGGGUGCAAGCG